UUUUUGUUUCCACAAUAAUCAGUAAAGGCACAAAUGCAUAACCAAAAAUGAUACAUAAAUCAAAGAAAUAUACACAGAAGUAUACAUGCAUGUCCAACUACUUGUACCAUAUAAAACAGUGUAGUAAAAAUCUCUUCCUAGUCUGGUUCCUAUUAUCUUAGAUCACACAAUAUAUAAUGUACUGUUGCAGAGGGCAUAGGUCAUAG
This is a non-coding RNA of Pelobates cultripes (western spadefoot toad), 206 nucleotides long. Lineage: Eukaryota; Metazoa; Chordata; Amphibia; Anura; Pelobatidae. The record is from the annotation of a GenBank genome assembly.